This 93-nucleotide non-coding RNA is filed under the name human gut metagenome. RNAcentral describes it as "TPP riboswitch (THI element)". The stretch from base 4 to 84 matches the Rfam family "TPP riboswitch aptamer (THI element)", at positions 10 to 89 of the family's 105-position model. Rfam says of the family: Vitamin B(1) in its active form thiamin pyrophosphate (TPP) is an essential coenzyme that is synthesised by coupling of pyrimidine and thiazole moieties in bacteria. The previously detected thiamin-regulatory element, thi box was extended, resulting in a new, highly conserved RNA secondary structure, the THI element, which is widely distributed in eubacteria and also occurs in some archaea. The record is from RNAcentral.
AGGCAGGGGAGCUUGUAUGACAGGCUGAGAGGAAGGUAGACCUUCGACCCUUUAACCUGAUGCGGAUAAUGCCGACGUAGGAAGUGGAUAUGA